RNAcentral lists this ribosomal RNA (440 nucleotides) under uncultured bacterium. RNAcentral's name for it is "partial 16S ribosomal RNA". It matches the Rfam family "Bacterial small subunit ribosomal RNA", at positions 338 to 795 of the family's 1533-position model. The record is from RNAcentral.
CCUACGGGUGGCAGCAGUGGGGAAUAUUGCACAAUGGGGGGAACCCUGAUGCAGCAACGCCGCGUGAGUGAGGAAGGCCUUCGGUAUGUAAAGCCCUGUCAGCAGGGAAGAGGAAGGCGGUACCCGACUGAGGAGCCCAGGCUAAGUACCGGCCAGCAGCCGCGGUUAAACGGAGGGUGCCAAGGGUAUCCGGAUUUAAUGGGGGUAAAGGGAGGCCAGACGGGAAAGAAAGUCAGAAGGGAAACCACGUGGCCGAAGCCCGGGAGAGCAUUUGGAACUGUAUGGCUGGAGUGCAGGAGGGGCAGGCGGAAGUCCUAGUGUAGCGGUGAAAUGCGUAGAGAUUAGGAGGAACACCGGUGGCGAAGGCGGCCGGCUGGACUGUGACUGACGCUGAGGCCUGAGAGCGUGGGGAGCAAACAGGAUUAGAUACCCGUGUAGUC